UCUGUGCUCCUGUAAGUCAUCGCAGUAAACUCCUUAGUCAAACCAAAUGGACAGGAUUGUUCCUCUGCCGUGUCACUGUUGCCCUCUUGCUCACAUGUCCCCAAGGAAAGUCACGUGACAUGCACAGGAAGGAAAAUACCGGAAGCUGGUACAUCACAGUGAAAGAACUUUACCUCACUCACUGAUUUGGUCACCUCGACGGUUAAAAAGCACGGUCCAGGGGCCCAGCCAGGACCCUUGACUGCUCCACAACAUGCAAGGUGACAGAAAGUGAACCAGCUCCACGCAGGCCGGGCCAAGUGUGAGGAGCAACCUCGCUUUAGGACACCUCUAGGACCACCGUGGAGCCUCCAUCAGAAGACGGAGCCUCUGAUGAUCUAGUCUCCUCCUUCUGCCUCAACACAGCCAUGCCAGGGAACGAGCUUCUGAGAAUGAACUCUGGGAGAGCAGACUGCAGACGUGGAGAAAACAACAAGGAAAGGAGCCCCAAAGGAGGCUCCACAGCACUCGUCCUGCUGGGUGAGGCCUCAGCGCACACAUGGCUACUCCUUUCCUCUCUCAGGCUGCCAGCACUCACAGAAGAAGAACAAGGAACUUUCCAGGACUGACAGGGAGAGGUAUCCAACAUCUUUUCUGUUGAAAGUCAUCCAAGUUGGUGGAGUCUUAGCAAACCUCAGCGGUUCCCGCUGUGGAAGAUUAAAGCGUGGUUUGUGAACUUCUCUCA
Long non-coding RNA from Peromyscus eremicus (cactus mouse), 724 nucleotides. RefSeq lists it as uncharacterized. The transcript has 3 exons. NCBI's taxonomy places the organism in Eukaryota, Metazoa, Chordata, Mammalia, Rodentia, Cricetidae. The record is from RefSeq and is a predicted model, not a curated record.